AACGCAGUUUUUAUUUCUUCAUUUUCAUGUCGAGAGAGUUUGCCGGAGCAGAGAAUAAAUCCUAAAAAGUAAAACCUAAUCCGAGAGAGUUUGCCGGAGCAGAGAAUAAAUCCUAAAAAGUAAAACCUAAUCUCUGGCGUUUGAAACUUCAAUCUACAAACCCUUAAUUUGAGAAUCAAAUAAAUGGUCAUUAUCAGUACAUAUUCUUGAAGAUUAAUUCGCAAUCGUGGAGAAAAGUUGAUGAGGUUCAAUUUCAGCAAAUUAAUUGGAGAUUUCGUCAUCAAAAUCGAUGUGAAAGACAUAAUUGGUUGCGGUUGCAGUUUUGUUCAAAGUUGUUCAAAACCAUACCAUGCGCAUCCAUAAAGACAAGGUUGCAUCUUCUCCUGUGGUACACCAUUGUGCUAUCAGUUCCAACAGAUUCUUCUAGUGAUUCACAUAAAGUAUGAUUCUUCUCCAAGAAAGAACAUGACGAGUUAAUUAUAAAAUUUUGCAGAUGUGUGAUCUGUUGUAUGGAAUACAAAAACCGAGACAUGCUGACCACUAUAUCAUUCAAAAUGUAUCACGCAUAAGCUAAAGAAGGUGAUUCAAUUUAUGUUUUACGUAGUGUACUUUUUAGUGCACCAGUUUUAUCAUACUUGUUGUAAGUCGUGCACUUUUUUUCUGCAUUGGUUAUUUACCUGAAACUAUCAAACUAGUAUUUGCAUUUGGCCUUGUCUACACACAACAUACGUAGAAAUCUUCCUACAUCGAAGAUCAUCAUCCCCAAGUCAUUAGGUAGUAGCAAAUUUAACUCCUUUUUGGGUUCCACCAUUUGAAGCUGAGACGCAGAACAAAACAUUUAAAAGGUAUUGAUUAAGGAUCUCCACUCUUCUGUUUGUUUCUUCUAUUUUGCAUCUUAGGUUUUUUCUGUGUAUUUUUUGCUGAACGGUACAUAAUUAUAUGAAAGCAAGUCAGAUUCCUGCAUUUUUAGCAUUGUCAGUUUCCUAGUUUACUAAAACUAGAAGCUGUCGACGUAUGUUGAGUUUGUGAACAUAGUAUUACACAUGCUGGAUAUUAAUGUGUACAUAAUUAUACAAUGUUGGUUUGUUAGUGUGUAUAUAGUUGUACAUAUGCUGAAUAUUAAUGUGUACAUGAUUAUACACAUGUUUAUUGUCAAUGCGUACGUAGUUGUAUACAUGUUUAUUGUUAACUAAUGUGUACAUUGUUACACACAUUAAAUCUUUGAUCUUCUUUAUCAAAAUCAUCCAUUCUUACUGAAGUUGUUUAUGACAAUAUGUGCACAUUAAUAUACACUGUAUUUUGUACAAUAAUAAGAGGCUGAAUAAGAGGCAAACAGAAACAAGCAGAGGGUACAAGGUGGAAAAUUAUAGAAUAAAGUGGAAGAGAUUUUUCAAGAUCGAUUAGAGGAUGACCCUGUUUUGGUCAUGUAUGUGAUAGCAAUUUUGACUGUGGGCCAUCUAAACCAGGUAUUUAUUCAUUUAUGUCUAUUCUAUUUUUUAAUUGUACUUGACUGAGCACAUUUUUCUGUAGAUGAGUCGACAACUAAUUAUAAUAACUUUGAUCAACUUUUUUGUAUGUUUUGAUACACUUCUAUGCGAACCUUCUAUUGUCGGAGUUUGAGUAGAGUAGUAAGCAAGCUUUCCCAAACAACAAGACUGUGCUAAUGUUGUAGAUAAGAAUUUAUUAGAAAUUAUCAUGUGCCUAAAUUAGGAUCUUAGGCAUUUGGAUACUAAUAGAUGCUAAAGUAAAAUCAGAGUUGAUGCUGGUCUUUGUCAAAGUGAGACAAAAAUAUAGCACCUGAUAUUCUCUGAGAUAAUGUUUUUAUUGACAAUAUAGGAGUUUCUUGUGGUUUGUUCAUUGAAAGUGUAUUUUAUGUAAGGAAAUAUGUGAGCUAAAGCUGUUAAAGUUGUUAGUGUACACCAGUUGAUUGUUAAGUGUACAUCGUUGUACACCUGUUUAUUAUCAAUGUAUUCAUAGUUGUACACCUGUUGAUAUGUGUACAUAAUUGUACAUCUGUUUAUUGUUAAUGUUUACAUAGUUGUACACAUGAUGAUUAUUAAUAGUUUUUCUUGUUCAA
Molecule: long non-coding RNA, 2077 nt
Organism: Papaver somniferum (opium poppy)
Lineage: Eukaryota; Viridiplantae; Streptophyta; Magnoliopsida; Ranunculales; Papaveraceae
Exons: 5
Source: RefSeq, a predicted model, not a curated record